RNAcentral lists this transfer RNA (77 nucleotides) under Microbacterium lemovicicum. RNAcentral describes it as "tRNA-Leu". It matches the Rfam family "tRNA". From Rfam's summary of the family: Transfer RNA (tRNA) molecules are approximately 80 nucleotides in length. The record is from RNAcentral. Lineage: Bacteria; Bacillati; Actinomycetota; Actinomycetes; Micrococcales; Microbacteriaceae. RNAcentral also lists the same sequence under 1 other name.
GCCCCCGUAGCCCAACGGCAGAGGCAGGCGACUUAAAAUCGCUCCAGGUCUGGGUUCGAAUCCCAGCGGGGGCACCA